RNAcentral lists this ribosomal RNA (253 nucleotides) under uncultured bacterium. RNAcentral describes it as "partial 16S ribosomal RNA". It matches the Rfam family "Bacterial small subunit ribosomal RNA", at positions 524 to 776 of the family's 1533-position model. The record is from RNAcentral.
UACAGAGGGUGCAAACGUUGCUCGGAAUCAUUGGGCGUAAAGCGCACGUAGGCGGCCUAGCAGGUCGGAUGUGAAAUCCCUCGGCUCAACCAAGGAAGUGCAUUCGAAACCGCAAGGCUGGAGUCCCGGAGAGGAUGGUGGAAUUCUCGGUGUAGAGGUGAAAUUCGUAGAUAUUCGGAAGAACACCAGUGGCGAAGGCGGCUCACUGGACUGGUAUUGACGCUGAGGUGCGAAAGCAUGGGGAGCGAACAGG